RNAcentral lists this ribosomal RNA (432 nucleotides) under uncultured bacterium. Its description in RNAcentral is "partial 16S ribosomal RNA". It matches the Rfam family "Bacterial small subunit ribosomal RNA", at positions 29 to 507 of the family's 1533-position model. The record is from RNAcentral.
AACGAACGCUGGCGGCAUGCCUAACACAUGCAAGUCGAACGAGACCUUCGGGUCUAGUGGCGCACGGGUGCGUAACGCGUGGGAACCUGCCCUUAGGUUCGGAAUAACUCCCCGAAAGGGGUGCUAAUACCGGAUAAUGUCUUCGGACCAAAGAUUUAUCGCCUUUGGAUGGGCCCGCGUUGGAUUAGCUAGUUGGUAGGGUAAAAGCCUACCAAGGCGACGAUCCAUAGCUGGUCUGAGAGGAUGAUCAGCCACACUGGGACUGAGACACGGCCCAAACUCCUAGGGAGGGAGGAGUGGGGGAUAAUGGGACAUGGGGCGAAGGCCUGAUCCGGCAAGGCCGGGUGGGGGAGGAGGGCCUAGGGUUGUAAAGCUCUUUUACCCGGGAUGAUAAUGACAGUACCGGGAGAAUAAGCUCCGGCUAACUCCGUG